Molecule: ribosomal RNA, 253 nt
Filed under: uncultured bacterium
Lineage: Bacteria
Description: partial 16S ribosomal RNA
Rfam family: Bacterial small subunit ribosomal RNA
Source: RNAcentral
UACGGAGGUCGCAAGCGUUGAUCGGAAUCAUUGGGCGUAAAGCGCGUGUAGGCGGUCUGGUCAGUCGGGUGUGAAAUACCGGAGCUCAACUCCGGAACUGCAUUCGAUACUGCCAGGCUAGAGUCCCGGAGAGGGUGGUGGAAUUCCCGGUGUAGAGGUGAAAUUCGUAGAUAUCGGGAGGAACACAAGCGGCGAAGGCGGCCACCUGGACGGUGACUGACGCUGAGACGCGAAAGCGUGGGGAGCAAACAGG